Mauremys reevesii (Reeves's turtle) is the source of this 1599-nucleotide long non-coding RNA. RefSeq lists it as uncharacterized. The record is from RefSeq and is a predicted model, not a curated record. NCBI's taxonomy places the organism in Eukaryota, Metazoa, Chordata, Testudines, Geoemydidae. The transcript has 3 exons.
AUGCAGUCACCUCAGCUGUAAUCUCUCUCCUUGGCCUUCUAACCCUCUUCAUGUGGUAUUGCAGGAGCCAAGGAGACCAAAGAGAAAAUAAACGACAUUCCAAAGAGGAAGCAGACCAGGAGGUGCAGCAGGAGCUUCGGGAAGACAUGCUGCAGCGGCCGUAAAGAGCAUUCCCUAGUCUCGUGCCACCAAGAAUGAACCAGAAGAAGCUACAACCUGUCGUCAUGGCCAGCUCUUGGAAACACCCAUACCUAAGUCUGGCUAAUGCUUCCUCUUGCAAGCCUGUGUGGUUGGUUGCUUAUAAACUUUUACAAAAUUUAACCACCUGGGCUGAAAUUUUCACUGUCAGGACUCUGCUCAGGCUCAGUUCCCCACUCCAACCCCAGAAUUUCACUAAAAAAUGGCUCCACUAUUGCUGAAAGCACAGUUACGGGAAAAUAGGAACACAGUCUCAUGCUCCCCAACACACACACUAUCUGUGAAAAGGUUAUGAUUUGCUGAAUAUGUUUAUGCUAUCUGUAUGCAUGUAUCUUUUUUGUAUUUGAAGUAAUGAGUAUUGGCUCUAGACCUGGAGUUUAAAUGUUUGUUCCUAGUGUAAUUCCCACAAGGUAGUUAGCCAGCACAUCUUGAAGGGACUAGUCAAAGUAAGUGGCUCACCAAGGGACACUUAACUCACACUGGACCAUGGGAGAUGCUCAUCUACAUCGAAAGGACAUUCUAUAUGAAGUAUAGGUAAUGGCCCGGAGGCGAUGGGUGGGGGGAGCCAGGGGUGAUGGAGGAAGCACCAUCAUACAGGUUCGCCACGGGCACCAUUUUCAUAAGGCUGGCCCUUAUUAACCCUCAAUGCACAAACCAGGAAUAGUGCCUGAUUCCCACCGUUCCUCUACUAGCUAGUAAAUAGUCAUGUAAGCCAUUCCACUGUACUGCUGUUACUAUUAAGUAGCUUUAUGUUGUACACAUCAAAGGUAUUAAUUCAAAUCCUGCCAUUAGUUCACCUGGCUUCUCAAUAUAGCUCAAUAGGAUGGCAGGAUUGUGUUUGUUUUAGGCACUAGAAAAUUUCUUACAUUAGAAGAAUAUUAAGGUUGCAAAGUCAAGCACUCAAAUUAAAAAAUACUAGUAGGAAAGAUUGCCCAUGUAAUCACAAAUCUGCACCUCAGGCAUAGGUUUUUAAUGAUGCAGUUUUUAGUUGCAUCAUCACCUACAAUGUAGUCUAGGAACCCCUGCCUCAGUACAUACUCAGGGCCUGCACUACAUGAGGUGACGAGUGGCAAGAAAAAAAUUUAUCUUGUAUUGAAGGCCUGAGGCUGAGGCGAGACAGAUUCUAUUUUAGACUCUGUCACAGACUUCCUGUGGUUUAUUCCGUGUAUACGGAAGUGUGUGGGGGAAGGGCAGGAGUGGACAAUCUCUGUUUGGGCAUUUCCUAACUUUUCAGUGCUGGAUUUUGCAACUUUAAUGUCACUUCUGCAGUAUAUAACUCCAGUGUCAUUCAGCUCUUGCAUGUAUCUGUCAGCUAUGUUACUCGUGUAUGUUUGUCACUGUUACAUUGUUAGGAUUUUCUUUUAUAGCAUUCCUAUGUGUGUGUUCAGAGUAAUACAAGUA